AACGCACAUUGCGCUCGCCAGUAUUCUGGCGAGCAUGCCUGUUCGAGCGUCAUUUCAACCAUCAAGCUCUGCUUGCGUUGGGGAUCCGCGGCUGCCCGCGGUCCCUCAAAAACAGUGGCGGGCUCGCUAGUCACACCGAGCGUAGUAACUCUACAUCGUUCUGGUCGUGCGGCGGGUUCUUGCCGUAAAACCCCCCAAUUUCUAAGGUUGACCUCGGAUCAGGUAGGAAUACCCGCUGAACUUAA
RNAcentral lists this unclassified non-coding RNA (245 nucleotides) under uncultured fungus. Its description in RNAcentral is "sequence contains ITS2". The stretch from base 1 to 52 matches the Rfam family "5.8S ribosomal RNA", at positions 103 to 154 of the family's 154-position model. The record is from RNAcentral. Lineage: Eukaryota; Fungi.